This 450-nucleotide ribosomal RNA is filed under the name uncultured bacterium. RNAcentral's name for it is "partial 16S ribosomal RNA". It matches the Rfam family "Bacterial small subunit ribosomal RNA", at positions 354 to 796 of the family's 1533-position model. The record is from RNAcentral.
GUGGGGAAUAUUGGACAAUGGGCGAAAGUCUGAUCCAGCCAUGCCGCGUGUGUGAAGAAGGUCUUCGGAUUGUAAAGCACUUUAAGUUGGGAGGAAGGGCAGUAAGUUAAUACCUUGCUGUUUUGACGUUACCGACAGAAUAAGCACCGGCUAACUUCGUGCCAGCAGCCGCGGUAAUACGAAGGGUGCAAGCGUUAAUCGGAAUUACUGGGCGUAAAGCGCGCGUAGGUGGUUUUGUAAGUUGGAGGUGAAAUCCCCGGGCUCAACCUGGGAACUGCCUCCAAAACUGCAUGACUAGAGUACGGUAGAGGGUAGUGGAAUUUCCUGUGUAGCGGUGAAAUGCGUAGAUAUAGGAAGGAACACCAGUGGCGAAGGCGACUACCUGGACUGAUACUGACACUGAGGUGCGAAAGCGUGGGGAGCAAACAGGAUUAGAAACCCUAGUAGUCC